RNAcentral lists this ribosomal RNA (243 nucleotides) under uncultured bacterium. RNAcentral's name for it is "partial 16S ribosomal RNA". It matches the Rfam family "Bacterial small subunit ribosomal RNA", at positions 8 to 242 of the family's 1533-position model. The record is from RNAcentral.
AGAGUUUGAUCCUGGCUCAGGAUGAACGCUAGCUACAGGCUUAACACAUGCAAGUCGAGGGGCAGCAUCAUCAAAGCUUGCUUUGAUGGAUGGCGACCGGCGCACGGGUGAGUAACACGUAUCCAACCUGCCGACAACACUGGGAUAGCCUUUCGAAAGAAAGAUUAAUACCGGAUGGCAUAAUUAUUCCGCAUGGGAUAAUUAUUAAAGAAUUUCGGUUGUCGAGUGGGGAUGCGUUCCUAG